AGAUGCAGUGUACCCGCGGCAAGACGGAAAGACCCCGUGAACCUUUACUAUAGCUUGACACUGAACAUUGAGCCUUGAUGUGUAGGAUAGGUGGGAGGCUUUGAAGCGUGGACGCCAGUCUGCGUGGAGCCAACCUUGAAAUACCACCCUUUAAUGUUUGAUGUUCUAACGUUGGCCCCUUACCGGGGUUGCGGACAGUGUCUGGUGGGUAGUUUGACUGGGGCGGUCUCCUCCCAAAGCGUAACGGAGGAGCACGAAGGUUAGCUAAUCCUGGUCGGACAUCAGGAGGUUAGUGCAAUGGCAUAAGCUAGCUUGACUGCGAGCGUGACGGCGCGAGCAGGUGCGAAAGCAGGUCAUAGUGAUCCGGUGGUUCUGAAUGGAAGGGCCAUCGCUCAACGGAUAAAAGGUACUCCGGGGAUAACAGGCUGAUACCGCCCAAGAGUUCAUAUCGACGGCGGUGUUUGGCACCUCGAUGUCGGCUCAUCACAUCCUGGGGCUGAAGUAGGUCCCAAGGGUAUGGCUGUUCGCCAUUUAAAGUGGUACGCGAGCUGGGUUUAGAACGUCGUGAGACAGUUCGGUCCCUAUCUGCCGUGGGCGCUGGAGAAUUGAGGGGGGCUGCUCCUAGUACGAGAGGACCGGAGUGGACGCAUCACUGGUGUUCGGGUUGUCAUGCCAAUGGCACUGCCCGGUAGCUAAAUGCGGAAGAGAUAAGUGCUGAAAGCAUCUAAGCACGAAACUUGCCCCGAGAUGAGUUCUCCCUGAGACUU
This 767-nucleotide ribosomal RNA is filed under the name Klebsiella pneumoniae. Its description in RNAcentral is "partial 23S ribosomal RNA". It matches the Rfam family "Bacterial large subunit ribosomal RNA", at positions 2057 to 2823 of the family's 2925-position model. The record is from RNAcentral. Lineage: Bacteria; Pseudomonadati; Pseudomonadota; Gammaproteobacteria; Enterobacterales; Enterobacteriaceae.